UAGCCUAGUGAUUAAGGCUAUGGAUCGCCAAUCCGGAGAUGGCGGGUUCGAUUCCCGU
Molecule: non-coding RNA, 58 nt
Organism: Aedes albopictus (Asian tiger mosquito)
Lineage: Eukaryota; Metazoa; Arthropoda; Insecta; Diptera; Culicidae
Source: Rfam